GACGAACGCUGGCGGCGUGCUUAACACAUGCAAGUCGAGCGGUAAGGCCCUUUCGGGGGUACGACGAGCGGCGAACGGGUGAGUAACACGUGGGUGACCUGCCCUCAGCUCUGGGAGUAAGCCUGGGAAACCGGGUCUAAUACUGGAUAUGACUCCAUGUACGCAUGUUGUGGGGUGGAAAGCCUUGUGCGGCUGAGGAUGGGCCCGCGGCCUAUCCAGCUUGUUGGUGGGGUGANGGCCUACCAAGGCGACGACGGGUAGCCGGCCUGAGAGGGCGACCGGCCACGACU
This 290-nucleotide ribosomal RNA is filed under the name uncultured bacterium. Its description in RNAcentral is "partial 16S ribosomal RNA". It matches the Rfam family "Bacterial small subunit ribosomal RNA", at positions 28 to 315 of the family's 1533-position model. The record is from RNAcentral.